ACCUACGGGGGGCAGCAGUGAGGAGUAUUGGUCAAUGGUCGGGAGACUGAACCAGCCAAGCCGCGUGAGGGAGGAAGGUACAGAGUAUCGUAAACCUCUUUUGUCAGGGAACAAAGGCGAGGACGUGUCCCCGGAUGAGUGUACCUGAAGAAAAAGCAUCGGCUAACUCCGUGCCAGCAGCCGCGGUAAUACGGAGGAUGCGAGCGUUAUCCGGAUUUAUUGGGUUUAAAGGGUGCGCAGGCGGUCUGUUAAGUCAGCGGUCAAAGCCCGGGGCUCAACCCCGGCCCGCCGUUGAAACUGGCAGU
This 305-nucleotide ribosomal RNA is filed under the name uncultured bacterium. Its description in RNAcentral is "bacterial SSU rRNA". It matches the Rfam family "Bacterial small subunit ribosomal RNA", at positions 337 to 640 of the family's 1533-position model. The record is from RNAcentral.